AGGUUGGACGGGGUGUUUGGGGACAUGGUUUAGGGGGUGAUAUUGGUGGUACGGAGAUGGUUGGACCAGGUAUCUUGGAGGGCUUUUCCAACCUUAAUGUAUCUAUGAUGUUUUAGGAACUUCAUUGACAAACUGCUCUGUAAGAACUAAACUCAAUGUAAUCUGCACCUGCAUCUAUUUUUCUUAUUACACUUAACUGUGAGCAGUUUGACUACAAAGAUUACUUUAUGUAGAAGUUAAACGACUAUUGCUUGGAAUUUUAGUUGUCCAUAAACCCAUUGAUAUUCAAAUAACCAACAGCAGUGAUAACAACAACAGAAGUUACCACAAAGAAAGUACGACCUUAUUCAUGACACUAACAGAUAUCUCAAGGCUCAUGUUGACUCACUUAAAAUUUAUUGAUAAUAAUAAAAAAGGCCAAUACAUGCAAGCUGCUAAAAGUCACAGGUGCAGCUGUGAAAACAGGGGAAAUGUGAUCCCCACUUGAAGAUGGUAUGAUCUAAAGUAAUGGACAAAGCACAGGAUCUGUAAAACGUAACAGCAAAUGGUUUUGUUUGCAUGCAUUUUUAAUCUGUGUAUGUUAAAAUAUGAAAUAGAAGUAAAAAAGGAGGUAAGUUAACUCACAGCUUUUCUCUGCUUAGCCACAUGAUCUAAUUUUGUAGUCUUUCUGAGGACUGCUGCAGCAUAAACAGAUAUCUAAAUUUCAUCAUGGCACUUUGGCCUGGCAAGGGACGUUUAGAAAAAGUUUUACUUUUUGUUCACUGACUCCUUCAUAUUAGGCCGGGAAGUACUUUUGUGCUAUCAGUACCAAGACCGAGUGCAAAGUUGCCAAGAUCAUGCGUGUUUCACUCAGCUGCACUCUAAACACUGUAUGUAAUGUUUCUGCAAAUUUUCUCUUACAGUUGUAUUUCCAGGUUUAGCACUGCUAUCCGUCAUUGCACCAAGGGCCUUCUCAUCCAUUGGAAUGAUACUGAUAAAAGUGUGAACGUCUGCUGAAAAAUCACAGGUUGUUCAAUUUGGGGAGCAAGAUAUGAUUGCGAACGGCUUUUCCCUCAAAAAAGGAUCACUGUGCAGCUUCUAGUCUUCUGAUAGCAUUUUCACCAUGUUCAUUAGAUACCCAAACUUCUUUUUUUUUAAAUAAAAAAAAAA
Molecule: non-coding RNA, 1149 nt
Organism: Anas platyrhynchos (mallard)
Lineage: Eukaryota; Metazoa; Chordata; Aves; Anseriformes; Anatidae
Source: RefSeq, a predicted model, not a curated record